Molecule: unclassified non-coding RNA, 354 nt
Filed under: soil metagenome
Description: partial contains 5.8S ribosomal RNA, internal transcribed spacer 2, and large subunit ribosomal RNA
Rfam family: 5.8S ribosomal RNA (bases 1-120)
Source: RNAcentral
GAUGAAGAACGUAGCGAAAUGCGAUAAGUAAUGUGAAUUGCAGAAUUCCGUGAAUCAUCGAAUCUUUGAACGCACAUUGCGCCCCCUGGCAUUCCGGGGGGCAUGCCUGUCCGAGCGUCAUUUCUGCCCUCCAGCCCGGCUGGGUUUUGGGCGCUGUCCCCCCGGGGACACGCCCCAAAGGCAGUGGCGGCGCCGCGUCGGGUCCUCGAGCGUAUGGGGCUUUGUCACCCGCUCGGGACGGACUCGUCGGCGCUGGUCUUCCUCCAGGCGACCCUUCGGGGCUCGUCUUCCUUCGGUUGACCUCGGAUCAGGUAGGGUUACCCGCUGAACUUAAGCAUAUCAAUAAGCGGAGGA